This is a long non-coding RNA of Apodemus sylvaticus (European woodmouse), 1133 nucleotides long. RefSeq lists it as uncharacterized. The transcript is spliced from 4 exons. Lineage: Eukaryota; Metazoa; Chordata; Mammalia; Rodentia; Muridae. The record is from RefSeq and is a predicted model, not a curated record.
UCUCCACCCAGUCCAAAAGAGAGCCUCCUCUGGCUGCCAGAAGAAGACAGUCUCUUCCUGGCUGCUUCGAAUCAAGAUGUAGAACUCUCAACUCCUUCUCCUGCGCGCCAUGUCUGCCUACGUGAAGCCACGCCUCUUGCCAUGAUGACAUCAGACUAAAGCUCUGAAACUGGUAACAGGCCAUGUUGAGCAGCACUCUACUCAGAGUGAAGAAUUCUGUCUGCAGUCCUCACUGCUUGCCCUGGACCCCGGUCACAGGAGCAUGCUGCACCUAAGAAGACUGGCCGGAAGAACACCAACCACUAUUUUAAUGUCGGAAGCACUAUCGCAACCGUCAGAGGCAUCCCAGACCCAGGAUUCCUCCAGGCCAGUGCCAACACUGUACAACAAUGUCAGAGAAGACAGAAGAAAGCGUCCUGACUCACAGAGGAAAUCAAACGCGAAGGCCUCUGCAUGCCUGGCAGAGCCAACAAAGUCAGGAAGUUCAAGUGACAAGUGUCAGCUCCUGGUGGCUCCAAACAAAAGCACCACCCCCACCCUGAGAAACUGAAGCCUCAGUGUUACAGCAAAAGGUACAAAAGACAAACCAACAAACAACUCGCGGUGCCUUAAAGACACACACAACUUCCGGCUCCACCACCUCUGUGUGGAAGACUUUUUCCUCAGCCAUGCUGUGGCCCAGUACUUGGCCCACACAGACAUCUGCUGGAUAUCCGUAUAUAUCUGGACUAGCAUCGGACUAGGCCUUGUCACUGGCAGGGGUAGUGAAGGGCAGGGUGUGUGCAGUGCUAUGACACAUGUGAGCCACAGGCAGGCAAGGCAGAGACUGGGAGCCCUGGAAGGCGUGCAGCACCCAGGGAGAGUGGGCACCGGUAAACCAGGAGAAUGGGCGCAAACAGGGUUUAUGUAAAGGCGCAUGUGAAGGCCUGUGAUGAAACCGGUACAUUGUGAGCAAACUGCUUAUGUUCUCAGGAUCCCCUAAACAAUAGAUAAAUUCAAACCCAGGCAUGGGUGUACGUGCCUGUAGUCCUGGCACUGAAGGCUCGGCCACAGGACUUUGGGUUUGAGGCCAGCCUGGGCUACAUAGUUAGAACCUGUCCAACAAUAAAAUAAGUAAAAAUUCCUAUUCUGUA